GCCAAGCCGUAAACUUUUAUUUACACCUUGAAUCGCCAGGGAACUACGAGCUAAGCUUAAAACCCAAAGGACUUGACGGUACCCCACAUCCCCCUAGAGGAGCCUGUCCUAUAAUCGAUAAUCCACGUUUAACCUCACCAUUUUUAGUUAAUCAGCCUGUAUACCUCCGUCGUCAGCUUACCACGUGAGCGUCAAUUAGUGAGCCUAAUGUUAUUUCACCAACACGUCAGGUCAAGGUGCAGCAAAUGAAAUGGGAAGAGAUGGGCUACACUUUCUACCAUAGAAGAUACGAAAAACUACAUAUGAAACCUAGUUAGAAGGCGGAUUUAGCAGUAAAAAGGAAUCAGCACGUCCAUUUUAACCCGGCACUGGGGUGUGU
This 379-nucleotide ribosomal RNA is filed under the name Sclerophrys taiensis. Its description in RNAcentral is "partial 12S ribosomal RNA". It matches the Rfam family "Bacterial small subunit ribosomal RNA", at positions 794 to 1384 of the family's 1533-position model. The record is from RNAcentral. Lineage: Eukaryota; Metazoa; Chordata; Amphibia; Anura; Bufonidae.